GGGUCUCUAGCUCAGUGUAGAGCAGCUGACUGCAGAUCAUCAGGUCUCCUGUUCAAUCCCUGAGGGGCCCU
Molecule: transfer RNA, 71 nt
Filed under: Pleodorina starrii
Lineage: Eukaryota; Viridiplantae; Chlorophyta; Chlorophyceae; Chlamydomonadales; Volvocaceae
Description: tRNA-Cys
Rfam family: tRNA
About the family: Transfer RNA (tRNA) molecules are approximately 80 nucleotides in length. Their secondary structure includes four short double-helical elements and three loops (D, anti-codon, and T loops).
Source: RNAcentral